UCACCACCAGCCGCACCUCCCCCUGCAUGUAGCUGCUGACGUCGUCGUUCUCAUCGCCGCCACUCGAGGACUCGGCCUGGACCUCGCCGCAGCAGGUGGCCGCGGGCGCGUCCUCGCUCGCCGGGCAGGAGGCGGAGGGAGCAGGGGCAACGACGGGGCCGGCGGGCACGAGGGCCUUGGAGGUGGAGGCGGAGGUGGGGUUGGAGGGGGAGGCGGAGGGGACGGCGCUGCCAUCGGUCGUGCAGUCGUCGCCCGAGCUUGACACGGGCGGCGUGGGAGACUCCUUCAUGGCCUCGAGGACGGGGGCGGGGCUAGCUGCAGCCAACGUGGCGCGCGGGUCCCAAAGUGGACGCCGAACGACCUGAGAGAGAGGUGGAAAGGGCGCGUGUGGUGGGGGAGCGGAUAGGACGAGUGCGCGCGUUCGUUGAGCAGGAGCCUCAAGAAUGCCGAUACGUGGUUGGAUGAAAGAGCCCCAGGCGAGAGGUCUAAGAGAGCGCGCGAGCAACAAUCAAGCUGAACAAACCAAAGACUGUCGUAAAGCCUACUGCGCAUGCCAUUAGUGGAAGUUUGGCUUUGACCAUUGCCGGGCCAGCGUUCCGGCCAGGCGGUGCACAAAGGAAACGCCAGUAGCGCUGAAUUGGUGGUUGUGCCCGCCAACGUGUACCCGUCGCUUUUGCAGAAUGCUCACCUUCUGUCCAUUGCAAGGGAAGCAUGGCGAGCGGAUGUCGCUAGCAGUAGCCUUGCACAGGCGAGGCACGCCGAGGGCCUCAGGCAGAGCAUUGAGCAUGCAGCUCAAGUCCUCUCUCAAGUCUCCGCCCGUCAGCGCCUUGAAGACGCAUCCAGCCAGAAACGCGAGCAUAGAAGCACACGUUUGAGCAAAGGAAAGAAAUAGCGACAAGUCAACAGAAGUGCGCCGAGUAAUCGGUGCAGUCUUUUCGCUCGCUAUGUGCGUUUAGAUGUCACGAGCUAGCAGUGCAUGCUUUGAGAAGCUGAGAUAGCGUAGAAGUAAGGAAAUGCCGCAUGUUGACCGCAUUUUGUCCAGCCCCGCGACCUCGCGACCGGAUGGCAGUACGACCGCGCACAGCUGAAGCCGCCGUGAACAACAGGUCCCUCGCCACACCGUGCGUGUCCAGUUUGCGAUUGAAUGCAUCAUGUAAUACUCUAGAUGUAUUACUCGCAGCAAACGUUGCAUAAAAGAAAUGCGCGUGUCAGGACGACUGGAGUGAGACGGAAGGUGCACAGCCAUGACUGUUACACCCCGUCAGCUUGUCGCUAACGGCCGCGCCCCGGCAGGUGCAGUGUGCUGGCCCGCAGCUAGUAGACGCAUGCUUUGACAGCGGGUGCAUGUCUCAGAGACUCAGAGCCGCACGCGGGGCCUUAGGUGCUGACUCUGCUGAGAGUGGAAGGGAGUGCAUGCGCGCAGCCAGCAGCGGUCGGGUUCGCAGAGGUCCGCUCAGGGUCACCCCUGGGUCCGCUGUGGUUGGAACGUGUAGUUCGACGCCACAUCCGUACAUAACGCUGGACUGGCCACCGACAAAUGCUCUUUCUCCUUUUACCAACGCCACUGCGACAUCUGCACUCUGCAGACGCGGGCACACAUAGCCUGCUGCUUGAAGCCAUACUUCACUGAACACAUCAGGGAAGCAAACAUAACACCUCCCCACCUGCGCAAUCAUGCCCACCCAGUCCCACCCCGCCUCUGUAAACUCAGUAACUUCAGAAUCCCCGAACUCAAACCAAUCCCACAUACACGUUCCCACAGGCCACUCUUAUACCUUCGGCCGAUCGGAAGCUAGCAGGUAGCGGCCUCCUUUCAACUGUUCCAACAAGAGUAUGCGAUACAAUACGGUACUCACGCUAUACCAGUAUGACUUACGGUUCGCCACCAGAGUUCGUACUUGCCGCCAACGCGUGCCAGUUCUUAUCCGAGUCACCUGCCUGUGCCUAGUGCCCCUGCCCACGGCAUUGCAGCAGCGCGACCGUACCAUAGCAGCACGACCAGUGCGCCCGCACCAUGCACUGCUCUGAGGUCGUGGCGUUCAUUCCCCUCGCCUGCCCUUGCGCCCUUCCAUUACGGUACUUCAUGGCAUGCAGCUGCGCCCAUGUCGACAGCCGCAACAACGCCAUACGUCUGUCCCCAUCACCUAUCCGUCACCUGCUCCCCUGCAUCAAGCCUGGCAUGGCUCCCCCUCGCUUCCGUCUCCCAUUCCCUGCACCCUCCACCGGGCCCAACCUCCAUCCCAGCCGCCACAGCCAAUGCCCUCUUCUCGACCCAUUGUAAUCCGCAUCCAUAUGCUGCGUUGGCUGGCGCAGUUCGUUUACUCGGGAGGACUCGGCGGGGCGUCUUCCGCUGCACGCCUGCACCCUUCCCCUUGCACCCUUGCCCCUUGCAUGGCUCUUGUACAUCAUGUUUGCAUCCGAGUCGCUGGCGGCGACACCACAAACCCCACACAUCUGCCCCCACCGAUGACUGCCUAGCACCUCAUCCGGCCGCUAUAGCCACCCACCUCGCUUCCAUGUCCUGCACCCGCGCUCCCUCCACCCACCACCGAGCCCCACCUCCAAGGCUCCAGCUCAUGCCCACUCAAGGCCACACGCACGCAUGCAGGUAAGAAGCAUGCUGAGAUGCACAAGCCCGCGAGGCCCGGCCCACGUACACCGUGCAUGCAUGCUCUGCAGUAUAUGCACCAGUAGGCAGGCCCCGAGGACAAAGAGACGUGUUACUGGAUGCUGCCCAUAGUUGUUACAAGUGCAUGCACGCACGCCGAUGCAUGAAGCUAUGGCCCCACCGGCCUUGAUUAGGAAAGAAGUCAUCUUUUAAUGUCAAUCCGUGCGUAUGCUUCACUGGGCUCCAGCCCUGCCCCGUCUCAUCCUCUCAUCCAGUGUCCUUACCCAGGGGUGAUGACCUGCAAUGCACAGGCCGUGCCCCUUCAUCCCGUGUGCCAGUCCUGUGCCCAUCCCUACUCGUCCUAGUCACGAGGCCUAACUAGCCGUGCACACGCUCCAGCCCCCGCCGCACCGUCAGCCGCUGCAGCUAUGAAGCCGUUCGCUACCCGCCGUCACACCCACGGUCACACCGCCUAGCAGCUAGUCCUCAUUACCGUACAUCUGGCCAAGCUGCCUGAAUCAAUGCAGCCAGCGCUUUACACAAGACAGUAUCGGCUGACACAAGCAGGUCAAAGCAAUCUAAUAGUGAAACGGUAGCCAACGAGCCAAAGACGCUUGGUUCAGCGACGCCGCGUCAGGCAUUUGCCCGCCUAGUCAGUUGUGUGUUGGCGUGCCGGUCUGUCAACCGCCUACCGCCCGUAUUCAUCACUAGCAGACUAAAGCCUAAAGCCGCAGCGUCUAAAAGAUACAGAUCAAUCCAUGUACAGGGUCCUAAAUGUCCAAAAACACCCGAAAGAGAAGCCAAUGCACGACUUGUGUGAAAGAGCAAUGCUAGGCAGACAGCGUUCGACCCAAACCACGUCUAGUGAUGACACGCACGCUCACGGGCACGCAGAGUGCCUCCCCUCGCAGCAGCAGUAUGAAUAAUAUCUGCAGCGCAUGUAUAAUGAAUAUGUACGCCCUAUGAAAGAACUUCCACGCCCUAGGCCGCUUGCUCCAUCCUAAGCGGUAGGUGGUGUUCCAGUCCUGCCCCUGACGCCCACUCGGAGCUAGCUGCGGCACUCCUGGGGCUGUCUCGGCCCGCAAGCACACAAGCAAACGCACACACUGAUGCCGGCCGCACGCCUGCUUGGCGCGGCACGAUAGCUAGUAAGCGAGCUAGCGAGCAAGCCCUACUCUCCUUGGCAGCAUACGCUGCAGCCCUGCCAAUGAAACCAUCUCAGGUUUGCCCUCUCUCGAACCUCUCAACAGCCCUGCCCGACAGCCUAUGGGCGCCCUUGGCGCGAAAACGCAAGCCACCAAUACCAAGCCCGCUAGCAGCACGUAGCAUGUAGCGUCAUCAGUAGCCGCACACAACGACCUCCUCCCAGAUCGCGGCCAGCCGCUGGACCACCUGCUCCGCAGUGGGCCGCUCCUGCGGAUCCCACGCCACGCAGUCGAGCAGCAGCAGCUCCAGCGACAGGGGCAGGUAGGAAGGGAAGAUGCCGGCCGGGAAGGCACGGGCAGCAGCCGGCGCGUCGCCGGCCGGCCACCAGCUCUGCUGCGCAAACCAAUCGGCCGCGGCGCUGUUGCUGCCGGUCACAGCCACGCACAGGGCCGUGAUGCCGAAUGAGUACACGUCAACGGCGGCCGUCAGUGGCACGUUGCUCUGCACCUCGGGUGCCAUGUAGUGGCGGGUGCCGCAGGCCAUCUCGAAGAAGAAGGUGCCAGUGGGGUCAGCGGGGCUCAGCUGCUCAGCCAGACCAAAGUCAGCCAGGCAGUAGGUGUCGUCAGCGCGGUGGAGCAUGUUGGCAGGCUUGACGUCUGUAGGGGAUGAGAGGGCAAGGGCCAGCGAGUCAAGCGAAGCGAGUAAGAGGUCAUGGUGGUUGGAUGGGGGCGCAAGUAAAGGGGCAGAGAGUGCGCGGCGUGGCGCUAAGUGCAUGCAUGCGUCUUCCAUCUCACCCAUCCCCGCCGUCGUAUCCUGGGACACGCACCACACCCUCAUCAGCGGCAGCGGCCCCGCCCCUCCGCAUCUGGCUGGCUGGCCCACUCACCGUUGUGCACGAGUCCCACGCGGUGCAUGGCCUUGAUCGCGGCCGCCAGAGACACCAGGAUGGCCAGCACCUGCUUCAGCGGCAGCAGCGCCACGUCCUCCCACACGUCGCGGCAGCGGGGAGCACUGGCAGUGCCAGGCACUGGGAAGCCCGGCGGAGCACGGGCCACACGCACAGACGGCAGAAGCGGGUCUUCAGCAGCAGAAGUAGCAGCCGAGGCCGGCGCCGACGCAGGCACGGGCGGCGAGGCCAGUAGUGGUGCGAAGCCAGGCGGUGGCAGCGGGGGACGAGGGGCCGCCGGCAGUGCGUGAAAGCCCGGCGGCGGCGGGCACGGGCGAGGGCUCGCCGCCGGCAGGGGCUCAAAGCCGGGCGGCGGCGGUGGUGGGCGAGGGGCCGGCAGGACGCCAGAGCCCGGCGGCGCCGCCGGCCGCGCCCUGGUGACGUUGUCAGACAUGCUGGCGACGUCGGUGUUGGCGGCGGCGGCUGCAUCUGCCUGCUGCUGUGUGGCCUCCAUCUGAGCCCAGAUCUCGUCGCGCUUUUCAGUGGCAUCCUCCUGUGCAAUGCAGAGCAUACCGUAUAGGAGUGAGGGGCCAGGUUUUGGGCAUGACAGCUUAGGCUUGUGUGUAACCAACGCUCAAGCAAGCGUGCACGCACGCACACACACAGGCCUGCCCACACAGGCCCCUCUGGGCGGGCUUUCGUUUCGCUUUUAAACACACAGGCCCGCACACGCGCACGGCUCACCAGUUCGGAAGCCACGCAGCCCUUCGCCAGCUCCAUCACCAUCAUGGGCAGCUGCCCGGGCCGGCCGCCGUGGCACAGCAGCCGCACAAACGGGCUCCGCUCAGCCGCCGCCAGCAGCGGCAACGGCUGUUCAGGCGAGGAGGAAGAAGAGGAGGAGGAAGAGGCGGUGGCGCAGGCCUGCUGCAGCUGCAUCGCCGCGCCGACCUCCCUGUUCAGCUGCUCCUUGGCCUUGGUGAGUCCGCCCAGGAACAGCUUGGCGGCGACGGGCCGUGUGGUGCCGUCGGGCCGCUGCAACAGCCCCACGUGCACGAGGCCGUAGCCGCCGCGGCCGAUCUUGCCCUCGGACCGCCAGCACUGGAGGCCGUGACGCUCCUCGAACGCGUCCAGCUGAGGGAUAAGGGGAACAGGAGGAAGCAAGGAAGGGGGUUAUUAUAUUCGAGAUUAUUAAGAAGGAGGGAUUGGCGCCGGGCGUUACGAGGGCGGCGUGGGAAGCAAUGCAAGUGGACAGCGAGGAGACAGCUAGCCGGCAGGCGACACGCGCGCACACAGUGUCAUGGCUUCCAUGGAUGCACCCAACCAAACACCCCAGUUCAGGCGCAGGACGCACGGCAAACUACCGUGUGCGUACGUGUGCUCCAUGCUGCCCUCUGCUGCCACCGACUACACCCACCCACCAGCACGAGACACCCGCUCACCGGCAGCUUGCGGAAAUCCUCCACGACGCUCUUGGAGAAGCGGCGAAAGGAGCCGUCCUCGAACGUCACCACCAGCCGCACCUCCCCCUGCAUGUAGCUGCUGACGUCGUCGUUCUCAUCGCCGCCACUCGAGGACUCGGCCUGGACCUCGCCGCAGCAGGUGGCCGCGGGCGCGUCCUCGCUCGCCGGGCAGGAGGCGGAGGGAGCAGUGGCAACGACGGGGCCGGCGGGCACGAGGGCCUUGGAGGUGGAGGCGGAGGUGGGGUUGGAGGGGGAGGCGGAGGGGACGGCGCUGCCAUCGGUCGUGCAGUCGUCGCCCGAGCUUGACACGGGCGGCGUGGGAGACUCCUUCAUGGCCUCGAGGACGGGGGCGGGGCUAGCUGCAGCCAACGUGGCGCG
Molecule: long non-coding RNA, 6478 nt
Filed under: Chlamydomonas reinhardtii
Lineage: Eukaryota; Viridiplantae; Chlorophyta; Chlorophyceae; Chlamydomonadales; Chlamydomonadaceae
Description: long non-coding RNA (CREI_LNC000925)
Source: RNAcentral